GCCUGGGUGCGAGCCUGGGCGCGAGCCUGGGCGUGAGCCCCAAGCCAGAGGUACAGCGUUAGCAGCGUAAUUGUACCUUUUACAGACAACAGUGGCUCCAAGCCAAGCACGAGCGCAUCUGAGUGGUUACUUAAUGCGCCUCACGUGGCGUGGUUACGUAACGUGUGGAGUUGUGCAUCUGCACUCCAAACCUGCUGAGACACGCCGCGUCAGAAAGUCGCCUCGGCCUUCACUCCUGAACCAAUCCUGAUUGCCGGAGUCACAGGACACAUGCCUACAUUGGUGACCAAGGGCAGGACAAAGGGGCUAAAGCCUCAUGACUGACAGCCCCAGUGAGGCCACACAAUGGGGGAAGGGGAAAUAAGGAGAAUAAGGAUGCCAUGCAGAGAAAGGCAACAUACCCACUGAGCUGCAUGUGGUUGACUGUUCACUUCCACUGGGUGCCAAAGGAUAUGAAAGCAGGGAGAGUUGAACUGCGGUGCUACUGCCAGUAGCACUUAAACAGAAAGAAGAGAGAGGAAGAGAGGGAGGGAGGGAGAGUGAAUGUGCAACCUGUGUUCUCAUCUACAAAAUGAGGAUGGGGCUGAGGCAGGACAAUCACUUGAACCCAGGAGGCGGAGAUUGCAGUGAGCCGAGACUGCACCAUUGCACUCCAGCCUCGGCAACAAGAGCGAAGCUCUGUCUCAAAAAAAAAAAAAAAAAAGAAAUUCAAGAGUUUUAGUGGAACACACACACACGUGGACACCUCUGCAACCUUUGGGGAAUUGACUAGUCAUAAGGAAACAAUUCAUUUGCUUUUGUAAACUGUAACUAAGGGUAAAAUUCCCUAAUCUGCUACCGUGUCGCCAGGACACUUCUGACAAUAGGUGAAAAUGUCUAAUGAAAUGGCAAAUGAGCAGAAGGGCAGAACUUGUGCGUUCACUUUAAAUAAUGUUGUCUUUCUCUCCCUCUUUCUCUCUUUUGACCAUUUGAUUGAUGGAGACAGAGAAGAACAGGAGCAAGAAGCUAACGUUUAUCAAGCACCCUAAGCAAGUCACUUAACCUCAUUUGUAGUAUGGGCUUCAUGGAAGGCUGCCAGGUUUUGCAAACAAAGACACAGGAUAUGCACUUAAACUUGAAUUUGAGAUGAUGAGACAAUUUUAACAUAAGUGUGUCCAGUGCAAUAUUUGAGACAUACUUAUACUAAAAACCUUAAUAUAACCUACCCCAUAAUAAUCAUGAGGGAUAAAAAUUAUUAUUACCCAUAAAAAUCAUAAGAAUAAUCAUGAAGACUGAAUAACACAGAGAAUGUAAAGUACUCAUAGGUACCUGAUGAGUAAGUGGCAACACCGUUUAAUAAGUAAAUUCACCUGAAAAACACCUGGCUCCCUCAGCAUGUGGGGCUCUCUGCUCUUGCCUUGCCCCUAGAGAACUGGUUCUGUCCAUAGACCGUCCAUUGGUUCUCCUGUGAGAUGUCUUGCCUUGGCCAGAGGCAGCUUCCAUGCAGGAACUGUAACUGGAGAAAUGGCCCUUUCCAUAAAGCCACCCCCACUUGUGAGCAGUUGGAUGUGCCCACGGAAAGAAGGGGAAAGGAGUGGAAUCAGCCACUUUAAGGUAAUAAAAUUUACCCUCCCAGUCAGUCCUUCAUCUGUAAGCCUCCCACCUUCUAUCCCACAAGUUGGUAGCAAAUUGCCAAACCUGGAUGAUUCACUGGUCUCCUCUGGGGUCAUGACUAUCAGGUGCCAACCCAGAAAUGAGAGCUAAAUUCUAAGAGGAGAGAUCCUCUAAUUGGAACUCUGACUUUUCCAGCACUUCAACCUACCAUUCUCUGGGUUUCCAAAGAGUGAAGGAAGCCAUGUUGGUCUCUUCCUCCUCAAUCUGAAUAAAUGAUAAAAGAUCAUCAGGGACUAACUAGAAAAGAUAGAGAGCUAAUGUUUGGGAUGAAGCCAACCUGGAAUUAUAAAAACCACAUAUAUCUACAAUCCCUUGUCCCAAAAUCCAAACAGCUCCAAAAUCCGAAUUUUUGGCUUAUUUGUUUCUUUUUGUAUACUUGCAGCAAAUCCACUUGGCAGCAAAGCCUGACAGCAAAAACUGGCAUAGAACUAUUUGUAGUUUUAAUUUAUCCCACUCCAGAUACAUACUAAUGAAUCUGAUGCAGAAAUACUAUUGUUUGACUAUGAGGUGAUGAAUCAGAUCCCAAUGGGGUGUUGCGUAAUAUACAUUGUAUUGUGUAUCUCAUUACCUUUAUAAAAGCUGAAAAAUUCUUAAUAUCCAAACACUUCUUUUUUCUAAGAUUUCAGGUAAGGACAGUGAACCUGUAAUUUCUCACUUAUUUUUACUUAAUCUUUGCAAAAACCCAGGACAGGCAGUAUUAAAUUACCUAAGUCCACACAGGAAAUUAGUAGCAAAAAUGGAAUUAGAACCUAGGCAUAGUACACAACCAUCAUUUUCCCUGCUGGCCUUCCAUGCCCCUGUCUUUUUGUAACAGCGCCUCCGUUUUGCUUUAGAAAACUACCCGCAUCUCCCCUACUGCUUGCAGACUUGGUGGGCCCCACUUUCCCCUAGGCAAGGGAAGGGCACAUGCUCUAA
Molecule: long non-coding RNA, 2568 nt
Filed under: Pan troglodytes (chimpanzee)
Lineage: Eukaryota; Metazoa; Chordata; Mammalia; Primates; Hominidae
Description: long non-coding RNA NONPTRT017235
Source: RNAcentral